Molecule: ribosomal RNA, 332 nt
Filed under: uncultured Pseudomonadota bacterium
Lineage: Bacteria; Pseudomonadati; Pseudomonadota
Description: bacterial SSU rRNA
Rfam family: Bacterial small subunit ribosomal RNA
Source: RNAcentral
CGUGUAGGCGGCUUUGUAAGUCGGAUGUGAAAUCCCGCGGCUCAACCGUGGAAGUGCACCCGAAACUACAUCGCUAGAGUAUCGGAGAGGAAAGUGGAAUGCUUGGUGUAGAGGUGAAAUUCGUAGAUAUCAAGCGGAACACCGGUGGCGAAGGCGGCUUUCUGGACGAUUACUGACGCUGAGACGCGAAAGCGUGGGUAGCAAACAGGAUUAGAUACCCUGGUAGUCCACGCCGUAAACGAUGAGUGCUAGGUGUCAGAGGCUUUGACCCUUCUGGUGCCGUAGCUAACGCGUUAAGCACUCCGCCUGGGGAGUACGGCCGCAAGGCUAAA